RNAcentral lists this ribosomal RNA (485 nucleotides) under Escherichia coli. Its description in RNAcentral is "bacterial LSU rRNA". It matches the Rfam family "Bacterial large subunit ribosomal RNA", at positions 2458 to 2925 of the family's 2925-position model. The record is from RNAcentral. Lineage: Bacteria; Pseudomonadati; Pseudomonadota; Gammaproteobacteria; Enterobacterales; Enterobacteriaceae.
AAAAGGUACUCCGGAGAUAACAGGCUGAUACCGCCCAAGAGUUCAUAUCGACGGCGGUGUUUGGCACCUCGAUGUCGGCUCAUCACAUCCUGGGGCUGAAGUAGGUCCCAAGGGUAUGGCUGUUCGCCAUUUAAAGUGGUACGCGAGCUGGGUUUAGAACGUCGUGAGACAGUUCGGUCCCUAUCUGCCGUGGGCGCUGGAGAACUGAGGGGGGCUGCUCCUAGUACGAGAGGACCGGAGUGGACGCAUCACUGGUGUUCGGGUUGUCAUGCCAAUGGCACUGCCCGGUAGCUAAAUGCGGAAGAGAUAAGUGCUGAAAGCAUCUAAGCACGAAACUUGCCCCGAGAUGAGUUCUCCCUGACUCCUUGAGAGUCCUGAAGGAACGUUGAAGACGACGACGUUGAUAGGCCGGGUGUGUAAGCGCAGCGAUGCGUUGAGCUAACCGGUACUAAUGAACCGUGAGGCUUAACCUUACAACGCCGAAG